Xiphophorus couchianus (Monterrey platyfish) is the source of this 688-nucleotide long non-coding RNA. RefSeq lists it as uncharacterized. Lineage: Eukaryota; Metazoa; Chordata; Actinopteri; Cyprinodontiformes; Poeciliidae. The record is from RefSeq and is a predicted model, not a curated record. The transcript has 5 exons.
CUUAUUUGGAAAUGGGACUAUUGCAUUCCGGAAAUGAAGGGGGCGCUAUUUUCAUAAUCACUAGUAUAAAUACCUUAAAGACGCGGAGUUAAGAGGAACGGAAGAAGAAAGAAAGAAGUUUCAGGUUCUUCCACUGGUGUUCGGCUCACGAUCAACGAUGCAAAACUCACAAAGUCAACAAAAGAUUCACGUAUCUAUUUGCAACAUGAACAUAAAUAUUGCUGUUCCCUUUGCUAAUACAAGCUACAGAACCAUUUAGCACAAACUGCUAUGGUUCAACAUAACGAUGCCUCUGAAUGUUCUUGAAGCUGUUCUCCAGGAGGUGGCGCUAGCACAGGGAGACUCAGCUUACCUCACCUUGGCUUUGACCUGCAGGUGCUUUGAAGCCGUUGAGUCUGACCCAGUUUUCAGGAAGAAGACUCACUUUGCUUGGCUGGAUGGUGAGAUCAACUGGGGCAAAUUUUCAAAAACAUUCAAGGCAGAAAACCGGAUUCCUUUUGCGGUUGUAACGUGUUUUUCCUGCAACCGGUGAUAUAAAGACUGUGGGCUUCACCGGCAAUGGAAGACGAGGAGAGUACCCUGGUAACUACUGUGAUGGCCGACCUGGACACUGCACUGACUGUCAAUACUGAAUGCAAGGAGAAUAUUAGUUGCUUUCCUCAGUCUUUCACACAUUUCAGUUGUCACA